RNAcentral lists this ribosomal RNA (218 nucleotides) under uncultured Actinomycetes bacterium. RNAcentral's name for it is "uncultured actinobacterium partial 16S rRNA". It matches the Rfam family "Bacterial small subunit ribosomal RNA", at positions 729 to 935 of the family's 1533-position model. Lineage: Bacteria; Bacillati; Actinomycetota; Actinomycetes. The record is from RNAcentral.
CUGGGCCAUAACUGACGCUGAGAAGCGAAAGCAUGGGGAGCGAACAGGAUUAGAUACCCUGGUAGUCCAUGCCGUAAACGUUGGGCGCUAGGUGUGGGACUCAUUCCCACGAGUUUCCGUUCCCGCCAGCGUAACGCAAUUAAGUCGUCCCCGCCGUGGGGAGUACGGCCGUCAAGGCUAAAACUCAAAGGAAUUGACGGGGCCCGCACAAGCGGCGG